UGAUUCACAUUGACAUUUUGGGC
Molecule: small nuclear RNA, 23 nt
Filed under: Arabidopsis thaliana (thale cress)
Lineage: Eukaryota; Viridiplantae; Streptophyta; Magnoliopsida; Brassicales; Brassicaceae
Description: snRNA_14832
Source: RNAcentral